RNA transcript from Folsomia candida, 2024 nucleotides. It is a transcript of the gene named transmembrane protein 185-like, with no coding region annotated. The record is from RefSeq and is a predicted model, not a curated record. The transcript is spliced from 6 exons. Lineage: Eukaryota; Metazoa; Arthropoda; Collembola; Entomobryomorpha; Isotomidae.
CAACGCGUUGCACUGCACUUAAUUGCAUCGAUCUACUUACAUUCUCCCCGUUCGCGUGAGCAAGUAAUCACGUGCCUAGCUCAGGAAAACAUAUCAAAAAUUGGGGAAAAUAUUACGGGGGGCAUCUUUGGGAGUGCCACGUCUUUCGCAGAUAUCCCCAUUUCUUUGCUAAAAUAAAGUAGAUAAAACCAGAUAAAAACUGGUUGUUGUCGAAGAUAACCGCUGAUAUAUCAUCGUAUAGAAAUAUGUACAUAUUUACAAGUAGAAAACCAGCGUCUAAAAUUGAACCAUAUUUUAAUCCAAUACGUACAACCAACAACCACAGCGACGACAAACUCUGCACCUUGAAGAUUUUUACAAUUCUUUCAAAAGCAGCAGCAACAUGUUGAUUUCCUAUUCAAAACAUUGCAUUGUGCCUAUAACAUCAUAUAAACAUAAUCAUCUUCUUUAGAGCGAGCAAAGAAAAAAGUGACACACUUUUAACAACUCGAGAUAGUUAAAGACUUGUAAAGUAUGUAAGUAAGUAAGUAAAGUAAGUUAGUAGUAAAAAUCUUACCCACACAACAAACCAACUUAUACUCUCUUCAUCAUCGCCCAAUCCACCAAACCAAACCAACGCCACUACCACUACCACUGCAAACAAUAAUAUAAGUAAAAAAGAAGAAAGAAACUUCUAAAAGCUAUCAUCGCCAAGUUGUGUACAUAGAUAUGCAACGUUACCACGUUUAUACGAGAUACAGCUUAUGCUUGUCUGGCAUCUCGUCUACCAAACCAAAUAGUAAACCAAAAACCACCUUUACUACAGAGAUUCGGGAUCAUGCAAAAUGUGUCAAUCAUCAUCAUCAUCUUCUUCUUCUUCUCCUUACAUACAUACCAAAUACCUAAAUAUGCUACCGAGCAUCGACACUCUUCUUACCCAACAACCCACUAACAAAGCUAAAAAAACACAUGAACAGAAUAGUACAAAAGCUCUCUACACGGGUUUUAUCCACCUAUCUGGAUCUCAAAUCCAGUUGCUUCUCUUUCCAGCAUGUUCAACAACAUUUCGACACUACUUACACGAAUGAUUAAAAUUCAGACAAGCGAGCAGUUAUAAAAGCCAUCCUCCAUUUUCUUUCACAAAGUGCAUGAAGGGUUUCAAUAAUGGGACAGGUAAGAAGACAAGUAGUAACAAUAUCAUCCACGACGGAACCAAGAAACAACCACUUUUAACUUUGAUGAGCAAAAAAACUGCAGUGUAAAGUAAGUAAGCAUACAAAGCCAAGCAACAGCUAGCCUAGAUCCAUCCUCUCUUCCUUCCCUUUGGACUACUACUGAAAACUAACUAUGACUGAUCUUCUCUAAUAUUCUCAUCAUAAUCCUUGCAAUUAUCGGAGCAGCACCACCCACCCACCGCAUACUGUCGUAAUUUAUUAUAAAGUAAAGCCAUCACCACGGAGUUCACUCGGGCAGUCCACCUUAUUUGUACAUAUCGCCAAUAUAAUAAUCAUACACCACGACGCCACAAAACACGGAACCGAUUAAAGAUAUUCUCCAAUGGACGCAUACUACUAUAAGCAGACGCUCCGAUCCUACUACACUGGGCCGGGAUUGAUUCGCACAAAUUCUAACAAUGGAUACAGUUCUUCCAUGCUGUACGCUGGACAACCUCUAAUCAAACAGUCGUCCUCGUCACCAACAAAGCCCACGAGCAAAUCAUCCUACUCCCCGUGGAACAGUUCGUCCUCGUCCUAUUCGAAUAAUGGGAACAACAAUUCGUCCUCGACUUGGGGAAAUGCGUCAAAUCAAAGCUACUCGUUCGGAUCAAAGAAGGAGGAAGUGAAGCAGGAAAACAAAAAGAACAAUGAAUCUGGAGGGGGCUCAAAAUCCAUCAACUUUGAGUCAAACAUUGGAGUUUUUAAUAGGCAACGCGAUCUCGAAAUCAGAAUUUCCUUCGGUUAAUAAUACCAACAAUUCAUCAUACAUAUAACCAAAAUGCUUAACAAACUUGGAAGAUACAAACAAAAUGAAAUAUCUGUCACAUU